This 478-nucleotide ribosomal RNA is filed under the name uncultured organism. RNAcentral's name for it is "partial 16S ribosomal RNA". It matches the Rfam family "Bacterial small subunit ribosomal RNA", at positions 330 to 799 of the family's 1533-position model. The record is from RNAcentral.
CGUACACUCCUACGGGAGGCAGCAGUGGGGAAUAUUGCACAAUGGGCGCAAGCCUGAUGCAGCCAUGCCGCGUGUAUGAAGAAGGCCUUCGGGUUGUAAAGUACUUUCAGCGGGGAGGAAGGCAAUACGGUUAAUAACCGUGUUGAUUGACGUUACCCGCAGAAGAAGCACCGGCUAACUCCGUGCCAGCAGCCGCGGUAAUACGGAGGGUGCAAGCGUUAAUCGGAAUUACUGGGCGUAAAGCGCACGCAGGCGGUCUGUCAAGUCGGAUGUGAAAUCCCCGGGCUCAACCUGGGAACUGCAUUCGAAACUGGCAGGCUUGAGUCUUGUAGAGGGGGGUAGAAUUCCAGGUGUAGCGGUGAAAUGCGUAGAGAUCUGGAGGAAUACCGGUGGCGAAGGCGGCCCCCUGGACAAAGACUGACGCUCAGGUGCGAAAGCGUGGGGAGCAAACAGGAUUAGAAACCCGUGUAGUCCCAUG